GCACGCCUGCCCAGUGAAUAAUUAAACGGCCGCGGUACCCUAACCGUGCAAAGGUAGCGUAAUCAUUUGUCUACUAAUUAUAGACCUGUAUGAAAGGCAAAAUGAGGAUUUAACUGUCUCUUAUAAUAAAUCAAUUAAACUGAUCUCCUAGUAAAAAAGCUAGAAUAAUAACAUAAGACCAGAAGACCCUGUGAAGCUUAAAUCAAACUAUUAAACCAUAUAAUAACUACUUUCGGUUGGGGCGACCUUGGAAAAAAAAAGAACUUCCAAGACCCAGCACAGCUGAUAAUUGAACCAAGUUACUCCAGGGAUAACAGCGCAAUCUUCUUCAAGAGCCCAUAUCAAAAAGAAGGUUUACGACCUCGAUGUUGGAUCAGGACAUCCUAAUGGUGCAGCCGCUAUUAAGGGUUCGUUUGUUCAACGAUUAACAGUCCUACGUGAUCUGA
Molecule: ribosomal RNA, 446 nt
Filed under: Cemophora coccinea (scarlet snake)
Lineage: Eukaryota; Metazoa; Chordata; Lepidosauria; Squamata; Colubridae
Description: partial 16S ribosomal RNA
Rfam family: Bacterial large subunit ribosomal RNA
Source: RNAcentral